Molecule: long non-coding RNA, 1128 nt
Organism: Ipomoea nil (Japanese morning glory)
Lineage: Eukaryota; Viridiplantae; Streptophyta; Magnoliopsida; Solanales; Convolvulaceae
Exons: 8
Source: RefSeq, a predicted model, not a curated record
UCCGCCCAAAAUGUUCGGAGCUCAGCCUCCUCCUCCGCCUUCGCCACUCCCUCAUCCACCCCACCUUCGGAACCCCUUCAUCCACUCCUAGCUUCGGCACACCUUCUACUCCGGCAUUCGGAACCUCCCUGUUCUCCACUCCGUUUUCUCAACCGGCACAACCUCAGCAGCAGGGUUCGUUGUUUCAGACUCCCUAGAGCUCCAGCGCAUUCAGCUUUUCGACGCCGCUUGGGGCCACGCAGCCACAACAGAAUCUAUCAGCUUCAACGUUCACUCAGACUACAUUACCCUUAGCAAAUGCUCAAUUAACCACUCAAAUGGCUCCUGUAGCUCCUUUGUCCUUUUCUCUUGCCGUUCGAGAUUUCAGUUCCAGGGUGGUGAACUUUUCACAACAUCUCAUAGCUGGAUGGAAUUUCAUUUUUCAUCUUCUUCUAGUCUUUGCAUGUAGUAGUGUUUUGAUCUGGUUUCAGACUGCGGCUUAGUGGCUUUGUUGAGCACGAAGUUGAAGGGGAUGGAAACUGUCAGUUCUGUGCUUUAUCAGAUCAGUUUUAUCAAACACCAGAAUAUCACAGAGAUAUCAAAAAACAAGUUGUUAAUCAGCCUGGUGGUGGGACUGGAUCGAUGAGAGUAUGCUUGUAAAGAAUGUUUGUAAUCUAAAGAAGCAUGAAGUUGAUUGAAUUCUCAAAAUUGAUAUUGUAUAACAAGGAGAUAGAUUGGAGCUAACUAUUGUGCUAAAGAAAGAGGUCAUGGACCAAAGAAGAGCCAAUGCAAUGAGUACUGACUGCUAUACUGGAGAAACAUGUGCUUUAUGAACUAGAUGCUGAUAUUGGCCACUAGGAGGAAUAUAACCAUGAGUGGCGUGGGAAACUGUAGAGGUUGGCAUGCAUAUCAGAAAGUGGGACUGAUCAAAUUUAGUUGGCUAGAGGAUGUAAAAUAGUUCAUGUUGAAUCACUAAUUCACUGACUUUUAUGUUUCAGAAUUGUCAACAUCAAUUAAUUUCUUUUUGUAUAGGAUUUAAAAUAAAAAAAUUAGUUUCUUUGCCUUUGGUCUUUACAAAGUUGUAUGAAUCAUUUCAUUUUUGUAAUGAUGAUGAAGCCUUUUAAUAUAUUGAUCGAGUUUACUUUGAUU